AACGCGAAGAACCUUACCCAGACUUGACAUGCAGUAGACAGUGCCGGAAACGGCAUCUUCCUUCGGGACUGCUGCACAGGUGCUGCAUGGCUGUCGUCAGCUCGUGCCGUGAGGUGUUGGGUUAAGUCCCGCAACGAGCGCAACCCUUAUCAUUAUUUGCCAACAUUUUAGGUGGGAACUCUAAUGAGACUGCCCGGGUUAACCGGGAGGAAGGUGAGGAUGACGUCAAGUCCGCAUGGCCCUUAUGUCUGGGGCUACACACGUGCUACAAUGGUCGGUACAGAAGGCAGCGAAGCCGCGAGGUGAAGCAAAUCUAAAAAGCCGAUCCCAGUUCAGAUUGUAGUCUGCAACUCGACUACAUGAAGAUGGAAUUGCUAGUAAUGGCGAGUCAGCAACAUUGCCGUGAAUACGUUCCCGGGCCUUGUACACACCGCAUAC
RNAcentral lists this ribosomal RNA (438 nucleotides) under uncultured bacterium. RNAcentral's name for it is "bacterial SSU rRNA". It matches the Rfam family "Bacterial small subunit ribosomal RNA", at positions 958 to 1397 of the family's 1533-position model. The record is from RNAcentral.